CCAUGGACGACGAUGCAUGAUGAUGGCGUACUCCGUGUAGAUUAGCCCGGCUCAAUCAGUGCAUGGCUAGCUAGAUAGACGCUCGAUCGCUAGCCAGCAGCACGUAGCAGUACUCCCGAUCCCGAGUUCCGAUGCCGUGUAAUUAUAUGCUCGAUUAUUACAUAAGGAGUGGGUGAGUGAAUGAAUAAAAUCCUUCCAUUUCUCUUCUCCGGAUCUCGUUUUUCAUCUUCUUCUCGGAUGCUCUGAUAGCGAUAGCGAAGGUUUCCUUGGAUCGUCCGUCGCCGUUGCAAGGAACAAAGCCCGGCUGCUGGCCCCUGUCCUUGUGCUCCUGGUAGCCAAGCAGGCUGUGUUUACGGCCGCAUACAUACAACCCCGAAAAGCUGAAAGCAACUGCCUUUCCUUUUGUCUGCAAGGCGUGGGCCCGCUCCUUAAUUCGAGCUGCCUCCAUGGCUCUUUGCAUGAGAUCUUUUUUUCUUUUUGCAAAAGAAUGGACUUGACUUGAGCAUACAUUGUUAAUCACCACUCACUGCAAAGCCUUCCUCUGGAAUGGCUUCUUUCUGUUUGUUUAAAACAAAACGCUGUCCGGCAAAGAGAAUAUACGAAGGAUAAAGACGGUGGUAGAGCACGGCAGGAUAAAAACUACUUCCUUCAUUCCACAAUGUAGUGCCUAUACAUUUUUAUGAAAGUCAAACUUUAUCAACUUUGACCAAGUGUAUAGGGAAAUUGUCUACAUCUACAAUACCAAACAUAUACAUUUUGAAAAUAUAACUCACGAUUUAUCCAAUGAUGUGCAUUUGGUAUUCCAGACGUACCUACUUUUUUAUAUAAACAUGGCCAAAGUUUAUAAUGUUUGACUUCUGUAAAAAUCUAUAGGCACUACAUUAUAAAAGCGGAGGGAGUACCAAAGUAAAAAAGAUUAAGAAAUAAAGAAAGACAGUCGAGAGGAUUUGAUUUGAGGAAACGAAAGCAGGGUUCGGGACGGGAGCAAGGUAAAAAAGCAAAGCGCGACGGGUUCAUCAUUGUGGUCACGCAAAAGCAGAGCAAAGCGUGGCCGCCGGGACACUGUAGCGUGCUCGCCCGCUACACGGGCAGGGCAGGGCACGGCACGGCGGCGAACGCUACGGCGGAGCAGAGCAUGUCGCAGAAGGGAAAUGUUCCCCCUGCCCUGCUGCUGCGAUUCAAAUGAGAGGGUACGUAGGUCGAUCGAGUGGCUGGUGGUAGGAAAAGUCAGGGCGCACAAGGUUCCAGGACUGCCGAUGAUGCACGCGGCAAGUCAACACGCCGCUGGGAGAUAAUGUGGGCAUGCCUGAUUGUUCAUGGGGAUUUCGUAGGGCACAGGUGGUGGAUUCCGGCAGAAUUUGGGCGUCAGUCGUGUGAUGAGUGCCGUCCUGGCUCUGUGGCUCAAGGCUGCGGUCAAAGCUGUUUCGUGGAUUCCAAACUCAUGACAUCAAUCGGACGGCGUGGACGAUGGCUGGCUGUGGGUGUAUCUUGUGAAUGUGUGUGGUGGGACAGUGGUCGCCAGAGGUUAGGUUAAGGUCAGCCAUGCACCAACUUUUGAAUUAAAUGCGUGGAAGAAGAAGAUUGUCGAAUAAAAAGUAGUGUUGAGCUUUUCAGUUUCAAAAUCUGGAAUUCAUAAUUCAGCUAAAGUUGAAUAAUUUGAGGCAACUUUUGGUUUGAGGGGAUCAUAGUUUCGUUUAUCAUUCGUAAGAAUUUGAUAAUAAUGUCCAGGUGGAUUUGUAAAAUUCAUGUCCAGGUGGAAAUUUUCUACAUUUUUCCUUGGCUACAUUUCUUUGAAUCACAUGUAUGAAUAGUAUCACUGUAGGAAAAAAAUCUUAUGAUUUUUCUCCAUUUAUCCUUUGAACAAAAGAGGCCAUCAGUACCUUUCUGUAGGAGUACUCAAAGUAAAUUUCAGAUGUGAAUAUUCUACUCCAUCCGUAUUUAUUUACUUCCAAUAUUAGCUUGUAUUAAGUCAAACUUGGCUAAUUUUGACCAACUAUAGAUAACAAAUUAUUUACGGCUACAAUACCAAACAAAUACCAUUAGAUUCAUCAUUGAAUAUAUUUUCAUGCCAUAUAUACUCACUUUGUCUUAAAAUAUAAGACAGAGUAAAUACUCAUAUUGUUUAUAUUUUGAGACAUGGGUAGUAUUUGUUAUGGUAAAUACUCGUAUUAUUUUCAAUAAACUUUGUCAAAUUUAUAAAGUUUCACUUUAUACAAACCUAAUAUGUAGAGUAAAAACAAAUGUAGAGAAUAUUUGCUACGUAUAACCUGGAGGAUUUUUCUUCUUCCAGCUGAGUAUAUUAAACCCGACUUAUCUCCUUCCCUUGGCAGCUAGGGCAAACUCUUCCCUCCAGACUUUGCCGGUGAGCCCGUGGAUUCGUCUCCCCUCCACCUUCCGCUCCGGCGGCCGGUGGCAGGGAGGGGAAUCUCGGUGCCUCCGCUUCGGAUAGUAGUUCAGGUUAGGAUUUUUUUAGUCCUCGCAGGUGUGGCGCUCGGGUGGAUGGCGGCGCUUUUUCUUCAAGUUUGUAUUUCGUGCUCCGAUCCUCCUCGAGUUUGUCCAUCUGGACGUAGUUGACAGAGGUCCGGCGUACAUUCCUACUGUCUCCUUCGGGCAGUGAGGUUAGGAUUUCUCGUCGUGUGGCGAGAUUUGGUGUGAGGUGCUUCAGAUCUAUUCAAGGGUUCAACGACGACAACCACGGCUCCAAGACGCUAGUCCUUAGGGGCACGUGUACGAAGACUUCCCGGCUGGUCAAGCCGGCUCCAAUAAGGGAGCGGCGACAGCGGCACGUCGGCGGCUCCUUCUGGCGGAGGUAGUGAUCGUUCGGUGGUCUCGGUAUCUUGAUGCUAUUUUUAUUAUGUUUGAGGUUCUUUGUACUUCCGGUGAACUUUAAUAAUAAAUCUGAAUCAUUUUCACACAAAAAACUUAUCUCUUUUUUUUUACGAAACCAUAACAUACUAUCUAUUAUUAUGUAUAUGAAUAUAUUGGCAUGAAACACAUGAGAUUCCCUAUUUUACCUUCGACCUACCAACAGCUACCACCCAUUUGAUGCAUGGGCCAUUCCACCUUGUUGAGACCCCUCUCGUGUUAAUUCCCCUCAGACUUGAUCCAUGCGAUUUAAAGUACUCGUGACAUAGCGCUGAGGCAUUAUUUAACGUGAAGAACUUCACGAGGCAUGAUUCGGUCCAAGGUUUGGUAGAGCUAGAGCGUGCAUGCAGUUACUGCUGCACCCACCCACCUACAUGUAAGUUGGCCUACACAUGUUAACGUGCGCGGCAAACUUGUGGCUGGAAUCAGUGCAGAUCAACUCUGGGCCUGUAAUUAGUGCAUCUGCAGAGUAUAUAUUUGGUUUCGAAGCUGCGGGCUAAUGCGGGCCUGACAGUGUUCCAAACUUCCAACACACAAAAAUAAUGCAGAUUUUGACUGCUGAAAGCUUAUGACAAGGCGGCAGGAAAGGCAUGCAGACAGAGGAAAAGUCGAGUUGAAUUCGUUGCAUGCACGCAUGUUUGCUGACAUCUUAAUACCAGGGACGAUAAGCUGCUAGUGACAAUUGCACCACCAUUUAAACGCAAUGAAGCAUGCAACGCGGCCGUACGCCUCACGAUAAUGCGACGUACGCUCCUCGCAAAUCAGUCAGUGAUGUUUCCACUAGCUGCCUCCCCGGUUGGAACCCUCCCUCUCUCACGCACAAGUCAAAACCUCAGCUUUCUAUGAUUGCUUUCAUGGCUACGGAGAUUUGAAAUGGUACGUGCGUGUGCCCCCUGCCGGCCGCCGAUCAUGGGGCGUACGAGCUAGCUAGCCUCCCGGGGCAAGCGGACAAGGGGGAGAGAAGAGAAAAACAUGACAAGCCAAAGAUCGCAGAGGGACGUGCAUGCUGACAUGCAAGUCGAGCAGUGUACCGUGUACGCACUGCGACUCUGCGAGUGUAGUAUAGUACUACGCCCGUGUGUAAUGCGACGCAGGGUGGCAAAACAAAUCAGAUCUGGACGGAGACCGAGAAAACCGGUGUUGGAUCGGUUCGGUCGGUAUGAUUCAUGCGUACUAUCAAUGCGGCCGUACUGCGGAGUAGUACUGCUAGAUGCGUGGAAGAUCGGAUACGGUGGUCAAUCAUGGCAUGGGUCUCCCAGCCAGCCAGUUUGGCUCGCGCCGGCGCGCGAGCGGGGUCAUCAUGCCGUGUCGCGGCCGGGCCGGCCGCCACCGUCGCCUGCUCGUAUUUACUUCUCGUGACAACAUUUAGCGUCGCCGCGGUGGCGGCCUGCUUGAGGUUGGUGGCGGUACUGGCGAUGGUUAGUCUUUGCUGCCGCUUCAGUUAUGCUAUGCACCGACGCAACGCCAGCCUUGCGCGCGCCCACCUCAGAUCGAGACGAGGAAAUGGUUUCUGAAUCGGCUCGGUCGACGUCAAAAGCAGAGAGCGGCGGGCAAGUCGCAAGUGCAUGGCUUGGUUCCCGUCCUCAACGCUAAGUAUUUGAGAAAAGAAAAGAGUAUUGCUGGUCAUGCUAGCUCAUGCAUGUAUGUAGUACGUAUUGCUACUACCUUUUAUGUUUUGUUUUCGGGGAGCUUGAAGUGUGCUCAUAUUUGCAGCGUUAAGGAUUUUGGGGAGCAGUACGCCUGCAUGCAUGGCAAAAGCUACCCACCCUGCCGUGCUAGCGCUGAGAAACUGUGCUGCGGUUGUCGCAAUCUCGGCGUGUUGCUACUGCAGAGCUCACCGUACGUGUUUCCGGCGCUACUUUGGUCGACAUGAACUAGUGGAGUUGUUACGCUGUACUAUAGCAGAACGCUACGUCGCCACCAUCCGGUGACUUGUUUGGUGUACGGUGUGCAUUCUGUGUUUCUCUAGGAUAUGUCUGUGUCGUUGAGCUGUUAUUAUCAUGAGGCAAAAAUACUCUGCUCUCACUGCUUUUAUCUUCCUUUCCUACGACUUGUAUGAAUCCUGUAUUUUUCUUAUCGAUAAUUGUCUGUGUGGUGCAACGGGAGUAUACACAUGUUAGUAUGUUAGUCUGUUACUGCACCUCUAUCGUUUGUACAUUUGCGGCACUAAAAUUUCAGUAAAUUUUUAUAUGCAAUGACCGUGAUUUACCUGUCAUUUUAUUGUAAGCACUUAUUUGAUAAGAACUAAUGCCUUUACAAAUGAAAAAAAUGAAUUUUGUACAUCAAUAAGGCGUGGGGCGGUUAAGCCGUGGUUUUAGGGGCCACCGACAGGAGAAAAGCCAGAGAUGNNNNNNNNNNNNNNNNNNNNNNNNNNNNNNNNNNNNNNNNNNNNNNNNNNNNNNNNNNNNNNNNNNNNNNNNNNNNNNNNNNNNNNNNNNNNNNNNNNNNNNNNNNNNNNNNNNNNNNNNNNNNNNNNNNNNNNNNNNNNNNNNNNNNNNNNNNNNNNNNNNNNNNNNNNNNNNNNNNNNNNNNNNNNNNNNNNNNNNNNNNNNNNNNNNNNNNNNNNNNNNNNNNNNNNNNNNNNNNNNNNNNNNNNNNNNNNNNNNNNNNNNNNNNNNNNNNNNNNNNNNNGCGGAAAUAAAAAUAGGGAGGAAGGAGGGGAGAACAAGCAAAAUGGGAACCUUAUACAUUUUUUUAGGUAGUAGAGAGGCGAGAUGGCGGCAACUCUCUGAAGAUGGAAUAAGGUUCUACAAGUCUAGUCAGCGUCUUGGUGGUGCUUCUAGCGUUGAAGGAGGACGUGUAGAGGUUUUUCUACGGCGGAUCUUGCGGGAUUCAGCCGGCGCUUUGUCUUCGGUGGAUCCCCAUGAAGCCAUUGUUCAUUCAUCUGUGUUCAUGUGUCUACAAGUUGGACCCUUCCAAUCUACACUUCUCUUUAUCGACGACGAUUGCUGUUCUGAUGCGCUAUUCUAUGGGGCCUUAACAUGACGACUUUCGGACUGUCUACUACAACCAGAGGCAUAGACAAACCCUAGAUUGCCUGGGCGAUGGCCUGGGGCGUAGUGAGCGACCUCAAUGUGGAUUAUAGCAACACUAUCAUACUGUAGCCACAAUAACCACAGUAGCUCAAAGGAUGGCCUGGGGCGUAGAAAGUUCAUGAGUACGACACUAAUUGCAACAACCUUUGCCCGGCUACAACAAUGUUUGCCUAGUUUCGAUGAGGGUGGGGUCAGUGGCGAAGCCAUGCAUGAUCUGUGCAGUCAAAUGACUACACAAGUUUUUGGCAAAAGCAUCAUACAAUAAGUAUAUACAUGCAGAAAAAAUCAUAAAUACAUAUAUAUGACUACACAAAUUUGAGUUGACUACACAUGAAUGAAUUUCUCGCACCGCCACUGGGUGGGGUGAUGACGGUGAUGCGCCUUCAACUCACCCUAGCACUUUUAGUUGUCGCUAGGUGGUGCACUGACCUAGAUGUAUUUUUUUAGUAUUCUUUGUACCACGUUUCAGAAGUUUGUACUCCCUUCAAUAAGAUUGGAAAAAGCAGUAGGCGUAAGUGAGGCGGUUGGCCUUUGCCUAGUGCAUAGGAGGUGCUUAAGCACCCUAACCGCCGCCUAGACGGUAAUAUAGUUUUUACUAUCAUGGUGUAUUCGUCAUAUUAUAUGUGUAAGAAUAUUAAUUUAGGGCAUAUAAAUAAUUUAACUACCAACUAGUGGCGUUGCAAUAUGUUUCGUUUGGCAUAUCAGUACAAUAUGUCAUGAUUUCUUGUUCGAGUAGACAGUUUCUUGCUUGCCCUGCUUAAGCGUGGCUAAACGCGGCACUGCCUUUUCCAAUCACUAUAUGGAUAAGAGGGAGUAGCAUAAUUUGGUGGACUAAUCACUGGGGCUAGACCUGACAUCCGAAACACAUUAAUUAAAAUAUAUUCAUGCAACGUAGGCGAUCGAUCAAUUGCAGCACAAAAGAAGUGCUGCAGUGCAGUGCAUUCUGGGGAACACUGGUAGUCUGGUACGCACCGUGCGAUUAGUGCAAUGCAUGCAGCGCACGUACGUACGCGACCAGAAAGUGACCCAGUGACGAAGGGUUCAUGCAUGCAUGCAUGCAUGGCCUUCGAAACUUGUGUCGGCGUCGGGGUACGUCUGACGAUAGGAAGGAGACCUUCGGCUCGAUCUGGGGCCUCUCGACAGGGCCGGCGGCUGGCCGGAUCGAUCGACCGAGCCCCUACCUGAAAGCACACGAACUGACUGAUCGAGAAGGAGGGCCGCGACAAACAUAAACGGAUGGGGGAAACCAAACUGGUGGCAUGCAUACACUUGCAUUCUCCAUACGUACGUGCACGAUGAUACUAGGUGAGUGCGCACACUGCAAGCGGCGUGGCGUGGAUAGGUCGAUCGUGUCGGCCGGCCACUGCCAGGCGCUGCAUGCGCCAUGGGCAGAUGUGACGGCACACCGCGCUCGAUUGAUCGAUGAUCUCGGCUGCUCGCGCGGAGGCGCACAGGCGCAUUGGGUGACCGGCCGGCCGGCCGUGCAUGAUUGCGCCCCCCACGCUGGCUGCCACGCAGGCUAUAGGGUAAAAAAGCGAUCGACUGUGAGCAACGCAGACUCCGAGGCACCCCGUCCGUCCGUCUCUCCUGCGACUGGUGUGCCAUCGUCCUUUCCCGGACCGGCGGGGGGACCCGACCGCCGGCGCGUGCCGCCGUGGCUAAUCGAUGGGCGCAUGAGUGCGUGCGUCCAUGGACGUGCCUGGUCGAUCGAUGAUUUCUUUUCUCCCCAGGAAGAGCAUGUCUUCUUCUGUUUAGCAGUGCAUGUCGUGCGUACGCGACUGAUGUAUGCAUGUGGUAUGCAUGCCCUCGACCAUGAUCCAUCCAUGCCACGCCACAUGCCAUGCACGCGUUCUCGGCGCACUACGGCGACUCCACUCCACCGCGGCGGGACACCAGUACAAUACACCACUGAGCACUGGCUGGCCGGAGAUUUUCAAGCGACAGGCGGGAGCAGAGCGUCCUGGCCCAACCUAUGGUACUGCAAAUGAAAGCUGUCCGGCCCUCGCUCGAAGGCCAGUACGUGCGUGCAGGUGUGUAGCCUGCCUGCAUGCAGCUAGCGGGCGAGCGACAUGGCCUGGCCUCGCUUGGCCGCUUUCAUUCUGUCCGUGUGCGCCGAACCGAGCCGCACGACGACGGCGAGGACACGCACCGAUCGGACGGACGCGGCCUCGCAUGGCUACAUGGGUUUCGGUACAAUGAUUGGCGAUUUUCGCUCGCCGCGGCACUGUAGAAAGAAAUCAGGGGGCUGCAAUGCAUGCAUGCACGGCGCAGGCUGCGGCUGCGACCGGCUAGCUCUACUGCAGAGAGGGUCGGAGGGCUGUGACUGUAGCAUGUAGAGUAGGUAUAUGCCGCGUGCGUCUUGUACGAAUAUGGUACUCGGAAUUCCGUCGGGAUCGGGGAGAGGCAGCUUUCUGUCGUGCUGCCGCAGCUUUGCGCUGCCGUUCGUUCAAAGUAAUACAGUAAUGACCUGGUUUGUUCACCGAGAAUAAAAGUUUGAACCAUUUUGAGGAGAUGGCAAGAGCAAGAGGCCUUCAAUCUCUCGGAUAACACACUUAUGAAGUUAUUAUUUUUUAACCGGGCUAAUCCCCUUUCCAUUAAAGAUAUAACGAAAAUACAGCCAAAUCCAAGUCCACACAAAAGGGAAAGGGAAAAGGCGAGUUCAAGCACUUCAGGAAAACCUGCUGUGAGCGCUCGCAAUCGAAACGCCCACUACGAGGCAAAAACCCUGAAGCACCAUCGACACGCAGCUAACAUCAACAAGAUNNNNNNNNNNNNNNNNNNNNNNNNNNNNNNNNNNNNNNNNNNNNNNNNNNNNNNNNNNNNNNNNNNNNNNNNNNNNNNNNNNNNNNNNNNNNNNNNNNNNNNNNNNNNNNNNNNNNNNNNNNNNNNNNNNNNNNNNNNNNNNNNNNNNNNNNNNNNNNNNNNNNNNNNNNNNNNNNNNNNNNNNNNNNNNNNNNNNNNNNNNNNNNNNNNNNNNNNNNNNNNNNNNNNNNNNNNNNNNNNNNNNNNNNNNNNNNNNNNNNNNNNNNNNNNNNNNNNNNNNNNNNNNNNNNNNNNNNNNNNNNNNNNNNNNNNNNNNNNNNNNNNNNNNNNNNNNNNNNNNNNNNAGUGUCACCAACAUACGCGGUCGCACAGAGUCUCAUCAUCUCCUUGGCAUUCUCCUUCAGCAACAUUGUGUCACGCUCCAGCUCCAUUUUCCCUUCGCCUUUCAGUCACUACACCACAACACUAUUUCCCCAACAGACAUGUCGUUAGGGAAAACAACGUCCACCGACAGACAAUCGGUCGGGAAGGACUAUUGCCGACUGACCAUGCCUGUUGGGGAAAAUCCAGACGGGAAAGCCUUUUCCCGACUGACAUAUCUUUACCGACCAAUAGUUUGACAGCUAUCAAAAGCAUUCCCGACCGACUUUCUGCUGGCCUUGCUAUGAACAUUUCCCGACCAAUUGUCUGAUGAUAAACUUUCCCGACCGACUGUCCGAUGGUAGUACAUUUCCCGACCGACUUUCUCUCGGCCCUGCCAUAAACCUUUCCCGACCAACUGUAGGAUGUUGUUAUCUUUUGCCAACCAACAGUUUGAUAGCCUUUUGUUUAGCUGAGCAAGGCUCGUGCCUUGUCAAACAAUAUCAAUCAAGUUGCAUAUCUCAUUACAACACAAUAUCAAUCAUGUUACAGUAACUUGCAUGUACUCUCAAAAUAUUAAACCAGAACCAAAGAAGAAUAUUCUCAUAGGCAAAAGUAACUAACUCAAAGGAGGAAACGUUUAUGUUUCAACCAUGGAGACACCUGAUUGGUUUACAAAAUGAUAGAUACAUGUCCGACUAUUCAUUGCUUGCUCCAUUACACAAAAUGCCCAGUUGACAAGACACCAUAGAGGAUUACAAAAUGAUAACUAAAAGACACAUUGUUUUUGCUCCAUUACACAAAAUGUCUAGCUAACGCAAACCGCCAUAUUCAUGGUUCCUUCCUGGUACUCUUGUAUGUAAUUCCUACAAAGAAUAAAAUGGUCACCGGUGAAUUCAUGCAUUCAUAGAGAUAAUGGCAAAAAUAAUAAUUGUAUAAAGCAUCAAUGGCAAAAACAAAUUGGGAUUUUAGUAUUAUGAAAACAUGGCAUGUUCUAAUUAGAAUCUGUGAUGGGUUACACAUAAUAAAGCAUCAAUGCCACACCGACCCACCAUAUAGCAUGUAUCAAUCUCCUCAAGCCGCAGACAAGGAAGUAUAUUAAAAGGAAAAGGAGCAUAUGCAUCAGCUAGCCACAAGGCAACAAUUUAGCAUGUCCAGACACUCAAUUAUUGGGAGCAACACAUCCACGAACGGACACACGAAAAUCAUUUUUGAAGAAAAGAUUGCACUAGUUUUCUUUAUUUUUCUUCUCUGGGGUAGAAAAGAGCGCACUUUGCUGCACUAGACGGCAAUACAUUAGCAAAAUGAUUACUAUCUAAUACACAACUAGGAGUUUCAAUGAUGAGUGCAGCGCCUGGGAAAAGCAUCCUCAAAAACCCACAUACAUCAGGAGGUUAUACAUACUUUCCCUAUGUUAGAAAUGAAUUUCAAGGAGAAGACUCUAUUCGCAAUCAUUUCUAAAUGCAGUACUAAGCACAUGAGGAAAUCUGUAACCAGUUCAUGAAAAUAAAUUUCAGAAAACUACAAACCAAUAAUGAAUCUUAAUUAACUGCAUUCCCUAGGGAUGUGUGUUGGGAUUAACUAAUCUCCAUUAAAAAUCUAAGUGUAUAUUCUAAAAAACAGCAUAACAGUGAUUCACAAGUGUUGCAUUUUGAUGCAAAAUAACAAGAAUAAUAGCAGUCAACUUAAGAGAUCCUAGUGCAACCUAUGAUGCCCACUUUCGACACCAUGGAUGCUUUGACAAGAAGAUGUCAUAUUUCCUCAAGUUGUACAGGCACACACCAUGCUGACACCAAGGUGCAGUGUACAAAUUUCAAGCAAAAUUAUCACUAGUAGCCUCAUUAUACAUCAAAUAAUACAAGCCAAGUAGCAAAAAUUAUCACUAGUCACUACAACAUCAUACAUAAAAAAUACAGAUUUCGAGAAAAAUAGCAGUACACAGAAAUCCAUUUUGUAGCCUUGAGAUAAUUGAGUUGGAGAAAGCCCUAUGCCUCAGCUUUUAAUUCGUUCAUGUCAUUAUUUGAAUUUCAAGAAAGCAGAGUGAGAAUGGAAUGAUAUUCAAGUUAAUCAAAUCAACUAAUAUAAUGGAAAACAAUGUCAUAUGGUGUUCAUUCAUAUAUAACAUCAUGAUUAUGACAAAGCAUACCUUAGACAUUGUCUUCGGUGUGCUAGUCAAUUGUCUCAGGAGAAGAGUGAGAUAAUCAAGCCAUGAUACCUCCCUGUAAUUACCAACGAUUAAAAAACUUAACACAAAUCCUCUUGAAAGUCAAAUUAUAUUCUCUGAAGUUACAACAUUGCCAAAGGAUCUCGAGUUCUAGUAAAUGUUUGCCACAAAAAAACUCAACAAAUGAUCUUAUUUUUCAGCUUGAGAAUCAUAAUCUUUCAUCUCAAAGAUGUGAUCUAGGCAGGUUAAGAGACGUCUAAGGCAACCUUUAAUUCAGUCAUUAUGAAGGCACUUGUUCAAAGUAGUUACAACAAAAAAUGAGCAUGCUAUAUGUCUACCAACUAGUCCCUCCGUCCCAUAAUAUAAGAGUGUUUUUGCCACUACACCGGUGUCAAAAACACUUAUAUUAUUGGAUGGAUGGAGUAAUAGUUUGCUGGCCAUCGAACAGAAAUCCAUGGUCCACAUAUUUUUUCUACCAGGUGAAAUUAUGGUCCUUAUCUUAACUAGCCAGAGAGCACCUCAUGAGUAUGUAGAGCUUGGAUGAUCUACACGAACAUAACUGUUUUCCAAUUUGGACCUACAACAGAAGGAUAUAUAAUCAUUUGACUACACUAACCAAUAGAAGUACAUCCUAAUCCUUUAGCUACAGACCAUCCCUUACCUAACGAGCUUUGAAGUUAUGAGUUAGCUUGGAUUCCCAUAUGCAUAUGUAUGUGAACGUACAUAAUAAGAUGGACCUAUAUAUGUGAGAUGUGGUAUAACUCCAAAUUCAGCAAAUUUGUGUUAUGCUUACUUGCUAGUGCUAUGCUUCCCCUUCCUUUGUUGAUGCGUAUAACUCCAAAUUUAGCAACGAUGUGCUAUGUUCCUCCAUCCUGUAGUAAAUAGGGAUAAGCCCAUUGAAUCAAAUCCCCUCACCAAAACCCCAAAAGGUUAAAUCCAUGGGGGUGGAAAUCAACACACUACAGGCAGAGAAGGGAAGAAGGAGACCAUACAAGGGAGAGAGAUCUUACCCAAAGCCAGAACCUAGAAGCUGCAUGUGGAUUACAAAUUGGUUGGUGCUCGAGCUGAUGACGCCGCUGGCCGGGAACCCAACCCAGACAGCUUCUAGGAGGUGUAGCUAGAAACAUACACGGGGUUGGACACCACGAGCAGAAGCACCUUCAGGAAGUGCUUCGCCACGGACACAACAUGGUCUUCAAGCACAGGGCAGUGCUCCUCUGCAGGAGGUUGAGACUCGUCUUCCGCGGGAUCUGCCCGGCGUCCGCGUGACAACGAGGGUUCGAGUGGAGAGAGCGCCUGGUCAGAGGAAGGUUCGAGCGCGUGGGGGAAGGCGGUGUGGGGCGGCAGGAUAGCAGGUGCGGGAGCCGCAGGAAGGUGCGGGGACGCGACGGAGAGGCCGGCAGCGGGAGCCCAAGGUGGCUCGCGUGGGGAAUGAGGAAAGGGAAACUAGGGAUUUGGCUCGCGUGUGUUGUGGCUUUGCUGCAGAGGGGAAAAUCAUUCGCGGGCUUGGGCCAAAUGUUGGCGCUAACUUUAAUUCCUGCGCGCGCGCAAGCCCAAUUGCAACAGACGGUUGGUCGGCAUUAUUUACCGACUGAUGAAUUGAUGGGCACAAGAGCUUUCCCGACCGAUCAUUGGACAACAAAUAUUUUCGCAUUCCCGACCGAUUAUCUGUCAUCGUACGCACAGUUUCCCGACCGACUGUCUGUCACAAGUUUUCCCGACUGACUAUCGGUCGGCGAUACCGACUUUUCCCAACAUACGUCCGUAGGGAAUGCAAUGUCGUGGUGUAGUGAGUAGACUUGACCAAUAAGAUAAAUGCACACAGGCAGUGAAGUGUUGGGGAACGUAGCAGAAAUUCAAAAGUUUCCUACGUGUCACCAAGAUCUAUCUAUGGAGAAACUAGCAACGAGGGGAAGGAGAGUGCAUCUACAUACCCUUGUAGAUCGCUAAGCGGAAGCGUUCAAGUGAACGGGGUUGAUGGAGUCGUACUCGUCGUGAUUCAAAUCACCGAUGAUCAAGUACUGAAAGGACGACACCUCCGUGUUCAACACACGUACAGCCCGGUGACGUCUCCCACGCCUUGAUCCAGCAAGGAGAGAGGGAGAGGUUGAGGAAGACUCCAUCCAGCAGCAGCACAACGGCGUGGUGGUGGUGGAGGAGCGUGGCAAUCCUGCAGGGCUUCGCCAAGCACCGCGGAAGAGGAGAAGAAUUUGGGAGAGAGGGAGGGGCUGCACCAAAGGCAAAAGGUGUGUCUCAAGAGGCCCUCUACCCCCACUAUAUAUAGGGAUCCCAAGGGGGUGCGCCAGCCCUAGGAGAUCCAAUCUCCUAGGGGGCGGCGGCCAGGGGAGGAGUCCAUCCCCCCCAAGGCACCUAGGAGGUGCCUUCCCCUUCUGGGACUCUUCCUUUUAGGGUUCCCUAGGCGCAUGGGCCUCUUGGGGCUGGUGCCCUUGGCCCAUGUAGGCCAAGGCGCACCCCCUACAGCCCAUGUGCCCCCCCCGGGGCAGGUGGCCCCACCCGGUGGGCCCCCGGGACCCUUCCGGUGGUCCCGGUACAAUACCGAUGACCCCGAAACUUGUCCCGAUGGCCGAAACAGGACUUCCUAUAUAUAAAUCUUUACCUCCGGACCAUUCCGGAACUCCUCGUGACGUCCGGGAUCUCAUCCGGGACUCCAAACAACAUUUGGUAACCACAUACAAGCUUCCUUUAUAACCCUAGAGUCAUCGAACCUUAAGUGUGUAGACCCUACGGGUUCGGGAGACAUGCAGACAUGACCGAGAUGUUCUCCGGUCAAUAACCAACAGCGGAUCCGGAUACCCAUGUUGGCUCCCACAUGUUCCACGAUGAUCUCAUCGGAUGAACCACGAUGUCAAGGACUCAAUUGAUCCCGUAUACAAUUCCCUUUGUCUAGCGGUAUUGUACUUGCCCGAGAUUCGAUCAUCGGUAUACCGAUACCUUGUUCAAUCUCAUUACCGGCAUGUCUCUUUACUCGUUCCGUAACACAUCAUCCCGUGAUCAACCCCUUGGUCACAUUGUGCACAUUAUGAUGAUGUCCUACCGAGUGGGCCCAGAGAUACCUCUCCGUUUACACGGAGUGACAAAUCCCAGUCUCGAUUCGUGCCAACCCAACAGACACUUUCGGAGAUACCUGUAAUGCACCUUUAUAGCCACCCAGUUACGUUGUGACGUUUGAUACACCCAAAGCAUUCCUACAGUAUCCGGGAGUUGCACAAUCUCAUGGUCUAAGGAAAAGAUACUUGACAUUAGAAAAGCUUCAGCAUACGAACUACACGAUCUCUAUGCUAGGCUUAGGAUUGGGUCUUGUCCAUCACAUCAUUCUCCUAAUGAUGUGAUCCCGUUAUCAAUGACAUCCAAUGUCCAUGGUCAGGAAACCGUAACCAUCUAUUGAUCAACGAGCUAGUCAACUAGAGGCUUACUAGGGACAUGGUGUUGUCUAUGUAUUCACACGUGUAUUACGAUUUCCGGAUAAUACAGUUAUAGCAUGAAUAAAAGACUAUUAUCAUGAACAAAGAAAUAUAAUAAUAACAUAUUUAUUAUUGCCUCUAGGGCAUAUUUCCAACAGUCUCCCACUUGCACUAGAGUCAAUAAUCCAGUUCACAUCGAUAUGUGAUUAACACUCAAGGUCACAUCCCCAUGUGACUAACACCCAAGAGUUCUGGGUUUGAUCAUGUUAUGCUUGUGAGAGAGGUUAUAGUCAACGGGUCUGAACCUUUCAGAUCCGUGUGUGCUUUACAAAUCUCUAUGUCAUCUCCUAGAUGCAUCUACCACGCUCUAUUUGGAGCCAUUCCAAAUAACUGUUCUACUUGGAGCUAUUCUAAAUUGUUGAUCCAUUAUACGUAUCCGGUAUCUCUACUUAGAGCUAUCCGGAUAGGUGUCAAGCUUGCAUCGACGUAACCCUUUACGACGAACUCUUUUACCACCUCCAUAAUCGAGAAAAUUCCUUAGUCCACUAGUUACUAAGGAUAACUUUGACCGCUAUCCUGUGAUCCAUUCUUGGAUCACUCUUGUACCCCUUGACUGACUCAUGGCAAGGCACACUUCAGGUGCGGUACUCAGCAUGGCAUACUGUAGAGCCUAUGUCUGAAGUAUAGGGGACGACCUUCGUCCUUUCUCCCUAUUCUGCCGUGGUCGAGCUUUAAGUCUUAACUUCGUACCUUUACAGCUCAGGCAAGAACUUCUUCUUUGACUGAUCCAUCUUGAACACCUUCAAGAUCAUGUCAAGGUAUGUGCUCACUUGAAAGUACCAUUAAGCGUUUUGAUCCAUCCUCAUAGAUCUUGAUGCUCAAUGUUCAAGUAGUUUAUUCCAGGUUUUCUAUUGAAAAAUACCUUUCAAAUAACCCUAUAUGCUUUCUAGAAAUUCUACGUCAUUUCUGAUCAUCAAUAUAUGUCAACAACAUAUACUCAUCAGAAAUUCUAUAGUGCUCCCACUCACUUCUUUGGAAAUACAAGUUUCUCAUAAACUUUGUAUAAACCAAAAAUCUUUGAUCAUCUUAUCAAAAAUCAUUCCAAAUCCGAGAUGCUUACUCCAGUCCUUGGAAGGAUCGCUGGAGCCAGCACACCUUUUAGCAUCCUUAGGAUCGACAAAACCUUUCUGAUUGUAUCGCAUACAACCUUUCCUUACGAAAACUGGUAAGGAAACUCGUUUUGACAUCCAUCUGCCAGAUUUCAUAAAUGCAGCUAAUGCUAACAUGAAUCCGACGGACUUAAGCAUCGCUACGGAUGAGAAAAUGUCAUCGUAGUCAACUCCUUGAACUUGUGGAAAAACUCUUCGCCACAAGUCGAGCUUCAUAGACGGUGACAUUACCAUCCACGUCCGUCUUCUUCUUAAAGAUCCAUUUAUCUUAAUGGCUUGCCGAUCAACGGGCAAGUCCACCAAAGUCCAUGCUUUGUUCUGAUACAUGGAUCCUAUCUCGGAUUUCAUGGCUUCUAACCAUUUAUUGGAAUUUGGGCCCACCAUCGCUUCUCCAUAGCUCGUAGGUUCAUUGUUGUCUAGCAACAUGACCUUCAAGACAGGAUUACUGUACCACUCUGAAGUAGUACGUAUCCUUGUCACCCUACGAGGUACGACAGUGACUUGAUCCGAAAAUUCAUGAUCACUAUCAUAAGCUUCUACUUCAAUUGGUGUAGGUGCCACAUGAACAACUUCCUGUGCCCUGAUACACACUGGUUGAAGUGAUGGUUCAAUAACCAUAUCAAGUCUCCACCAUCGUCCCACUCAACUCUUUUGAGAGAAACUUUUCCUCGUGAAAGGACCCGAUUCAAGAAACAAUCCAUAUUUCUUUCGGAUCUGAAUUAGGAGGUAUACCCAACUAUUUUGGGUGUCCUAUGAAGAUGCAUUUUAUCCACUUUGGGUUCGAGCUUAUCAAUCCUGAAACUUUUUCAUAUAAGCGUCGCAGCCCCAAACUUUUAAGAAACGACGACUUAGGUUUCUCUAAACCAUAAUUCAUACGGUGUCAUCUCAACGGAAUUACGUGGUGCCCUAUUUAAAGUGAAUGUGGUGUCUCUAAUGCCUCACCCAUGAACAAUAGUGGUAAUUCGAUAAGAGACAUCAUGGUACGCGCCAUAUCCAAUAGGAUGCAACUAUGAUGUUCGGACACACCAUCACACUAUGGUGUUCCAGGCGGUAUUAAUUGUGAAACAAUUUCCACAAUGUCUUAAUUGCGUGCCAAAACUCGUAACUCAGAUAUUCAUCUCUAUGAUCAUAUCAUAUACAUUUUAUCCUCUUGUCACAAUGAUCUUCUACUUCACUCUGAAAUUACUUGAACUAUUCAAUAAUUCAGACUUGUGUUUCAUCAAGUAAAUAUAUUCAACAUCUACUCGAAUCAUCUGUGAAGUAAGAACAUAACGAUAUUCACUGCAUGCCUCAGCACUCAUUGGACUACACACAUCAAAAUGUGUUACUUCCAACAAGUUGCUAUCUUGUUCCAUCUUACUGAAACCGAGGCUUUUCAGUCAUCUUGCCCAUGUGGUAUGAUUUGCAUAUCUCAAGUGAUUCAAAAACAAGUGAGUCCAAACGAUCCAUCUGCAUGGAGUUUCUUCAUGCGUAUACACCAAUAGACAUGGUUCGCAUGUCUCAAACUUUUCAAAAACGAGUGAGUCCAAAGAUCCAUCAACAUGGAGCUUCUUCAUGCUUUUUAUACCAUUAUGACUUACAUGGCAGUGCCACAAGUAAGUGGUACUAUCAUUACUAUCUUAUAUCUUUUGGCAUGAAAAAUGUGUAUCACUACGAUCGAGAUUCAAUAAACCAUUCCUUUAGGUGCAAGACCAUUGAAGGUAUUAUUCAAAUAAACAGAGUAACCAUUAUUCUCUUUAAAUGAAUAACCGUAUUGCGAUAGUCAUAAUCCAAUCAUGUCUAUGCUCAACGCGAACACCAAAUAACAAUUAUUCAGGUUUUAACACCAAUCUCGAUGAUAGAGGGAGCGUGCGAUGCUUGAUCAUAUCAACAUUGGAAACACUUCCAACACAUAUCGUCAGCUCACCUUUAGCUAGUCUCCGUUUAUUCCGUAGCUCUUUUAUUUCGAGUUACUAACACUUAGCAACUGCACCGGUAUCUUAAUACCCUGGUGCUACUAGGAGUACUAGUAAAGUACACAUUAACAUAAUGUAUAUCCAAUAUACUUCUAUCGACCUUGCCAGCCUUCUCAUCUACCAAGUAUCUAGGGUAAUGCUACUCCAGUGGUUGUUCCCUUAUUACAGAAGCACUUAGUCUCGGGUUUGGGUUCAACCUUGGGUUUCUUCACUAGAGCAGCAGCUAAUUUGCCGUUUCAUGAAGUAUCCCUUCUUGCCCUUGCCCUUCUUGAAACUAGUGGUUUCACCAACCAUCAACAAUUGAUGCUCCUUCUUGAUUUCUACUUUCGCGGUGUCAAACAUCACGAAUAUCUCAAUGAUCAUCAUAUCUAUCCCUGAUUUGUUAUAGUUCAUCACAAAGCUCUAGCAGCUUGGUGGUAAUGAGUUUGGAGAAACAUCACUAUCUCAUCUGGAAGAUCAACUCCCACUCGAUUCAAGUGGUUGUUGCACUCAGACAAUCUGAGCACAAGCUCAACGAUUGAGCUUUUCUCCCUUAGUUUGCAGGCUAAGAAAAUCGUCGGAGGUCUCAUACCUCUUGACGUGGGCACGAGCCUGAAAUCCCAAUUUCAGCCCUUGAAACAUCUCAUAUGUUCCGUGAUGUUUCCAAAAACGUCUUUGGUGCCUCUACUUAAACCAUUUAAUUGAACUAUCACGUAGCUAUCAAAACGUGUAUGUCCGAUGUUCGCAACAUCGACAAACGAUGUUUGGGGUUCAGCACACUGAGCGGUGCAGUAAGGACAUAAGCUUUCUACUGAUCGCAUAAUUGCUACUAUCAACUUUCAACUAUAUUUUCUCUAGGAACAUAUCUAAACAGUAGAACUAAAGCGCGAGCUUACGACAUAAUUUGCAAAGAUCUUUUGACUAUGUUCAAGAUAAUUAAGUUCAUCUUAUGAACUCCCACUCAGAUAGACAUCCCUCUGGUCAUCUAAGUGAUCACAUGAUCCGAGUCAAACUAGGCCGUGUCCGAUCAUCACGUGAGACGGACUAGUCAUCAUCGGUGAACAUCUUCAUGUUGAUCGUAUCUACUAUACGACUCAUGCUCGACCUUUCGGUCUCCGUGUUCCGAGGCCAUGUCUGUACAUGCUAGGCUCGUCAAGUUAACCCUAAGUGUAUUGCAUGUGUAAAUCUGUCUUACACCCGUUGUAUGUGAACGUAAGGAUCUAUCACACCCGAUCAUCACGUGGUGCUUCGAAACGACGAACUGUAGCAACGGUGCACAGAUAGGGGAGAACACUUCUUGAAAUUGUUGUAAGGGAUCAUCUUAUUUACUACCAUCGUUCUAAGUAAACAAGAUGCAUAAACAUAAUAAACAUCACAUGCAAUUAUAUAGUAGUGACAUGAUAUGGCCAAUAUCAUAUAGCUCCAUUGAUCUCCAUCUUGGGGCUCCAUGAUCAUCUUCGUCACCGGCAUGACACCAUGAUCUCCAUCAUCAUGAUCUCCAUCAUCGUGUCUUUAUGAAGUUGUCUCGCCAACUAUUACUUCUACUACUGUGGCUACCAGUUAGCAAUAAAGUAAAGUAAUUACAUGGCGUUGUUCAAUGACACGCAGGUCAUACAAUAAAUAAAGACAACUCCUAUGGCUCCUGCCGGUUGUCAAACUCAUCGACAUGCAAGUCGUGAUUCCUAUUACAAGAACAUGAUCAAUCUCAUACAUCACAUAUAUCAUUCAUCACAUCCUUUUGGCCAUAUCACAUCACAUAGCAUACCCUGCAAAAACAAGUUAGACAUCCUCUAAUUGUUGUUUGCAUGUUUUACGUGGCUGCUAUGGGUUUCUAGCAAGAACGUUUCUUACCUACGCAAAAACCACAACGUGAUAUGCCAAUUGCUAUUUACCCUUCAUAAGGACCCUUUUCAUCGAAUCCGAUCCGACUAAAGUAGGAGAGACAGACACCCGCUAGCCACCUUAUGCAACUAGUGCAUGUCAGUUGGUGGAACUAGUCUCACGUAAGAGUACGUGUAAGGUCGGUCCGGGCCGCUUCAUCCCACGAUGCCGCCGAAUCAAGAUAAGACUAGUAACGGCAAGCAUAUAGAACAACAUCAAUGCCCACAACUACUUUGUGUUCUACUCGUGCAAAGAAUCUACGCAAUAGACCUAGCUCAUGAUGCCACUGUUGGGGAACGUAGCAGAAAUUCAAAAGUUUCCUACGUGUCACCAAGAUCUAUCUAUGGAGAAACUAGCAACGAGGGGAAGGAGAGUGCAUCUACAUACCCUUGUAGAUCGCUAAGCGGAAGCGUUCAAGUGAACGGGGUUGAUGGAGUCGUACUCGUCGUGAUUCAAAUCACCGAUGAUCAAGUACUGAAAGGACGGCACCUCCGUGUUCAACACACGUACAGCCCGGUGACGUCUCCCACGCCUUGAUCCAGCAAGGAGAGAGGGAGAGGUUGAGGAAGACUCCAUCCAGCAGCAGCACAACGGCGUGGUGGUGGUGGAGGAGCGUGGCAAUCCUGCAGGGCUUCGCCAAGCACCGCAGAAGAGGAGAAGAAUUUGGGAGAGAGGGAGGGGCUGCACCAAAGGCAAAAGGUGUGUCUCAAGAGGCCCUCUACCCCCACUAUAUAUAGGGAUCCCAAGGGGGUGCGCCAGCCCUAGGAGAUCCAAUCUCCUAGGGGGCGGCGGCCAGGGGAGGAGUCCAUCCCCCCCAAGGCACCUAGGAGGUGCCUUCCCCUUCUGGGACUCUUCCUUUUAGGGUUCCCUAGGCGCAUGGGCCUCUUGGGGCUGGUGCCCUUGGCCCAUGUAGGCCAAGGCGCACCCCCUAAAGCCCAUGUGGCCCCCAGGGGCAGGUGGCCCCACCCGGUGGGCCCCCGGGACCCUUCCGGUGGUCCCGGUACAAUACCGAUGACCCCGAAACUUGUCCCGAUGGCCGAAACAGGACUUCCUAUAUAUAAAUCUUUACCUCCGGACCAUUCCGGAACUCCUCAUGACGUCCGGGAUCUCAUCCGGGACUCCGAACAACAUUCGGUAACCACAUACAAGCUUCCUUUAUAACCCUAGCGUCAUCGAACCUUAAGUGUGUAGACCCUACGGGUUCGGGAGACAUGCAGACAUGACCGAGAUGUUCUCCGGUCAAUAACCAACAGCGGGAUCUGGAUACCCAUGUUGGCUCCCACAUGUUCCACGAUGAUCUCAUUGGAUGAACCACGAUGUCAAGGACUCAAUCGAUCCCAUAUACAAUUCCCUUUGUCUAGCGGUAUUGUACUUGCCCGAGAUUCGAUCGUCGGUAUACCGAUACCUUGUUCAAUCUCGUUACUGGCAAGUCUCUUUACUCGUUCCGUAACACAUCAUCCCGUGAUCAACCCCUUGGUCACAUUGUGCACAUUAUGAUGAUGUCCUACUGAGUGGGCCCAGAGAUACCUCUCCGUUUACACGGAGUGACAAAUCCCAGUCUCGAUUCGUGCCAACCCAACAGACACUUUCGGAGAUACCUGUAAUGCACCUUUAUAGCCACCCAGUUACGUUGUGACGUUUGAUACACCCAAAGCAUUCCUACGGUAUCCGGGAGUUGCACAAUCUCAUGGUCUAAGGAAAAGAUACUUGACAUUAGAAAAGCUUCAGCAUACGAACUACACGAUCUCUAUGCUAGGCUUAGGAUUGGGUCUUGUCCAUCACAUCAUUCUCCUAAUGAUGUGAUCCCGUUAUCAAUGACAUCCAAUGUCCAUGGUCAGGAAACCGUAACCAUCUAUUGAUCAACGAGCUAGUCAACUAGAGGCUUACUAGGGACAUGCUGUUGUCUAUGUAUUCACACGUGUAUUACAAUUUCCGGAUAAUACAGUUAUAGCAUGAAUAAAAGACUAUUAUCAUGAACAAAGAAAUAUAAUAAUAACAUAUUUAUUAUUGCCUCUAGGGCAUAUUUCCAACAUGAAGACAAUCUCAAAAGAAGAUGACAUUUUCUUAAAUUCAAAAGUAGCCUGGUUUCUACGAUUCCAAAUAGGCCAGCACACAGCCGCUAGGCCCACUGUGAAAUAUCGCUCCCCCUGAGGGAGGAAAGCAUAGCACCAAGAGUAAAAUUGACACAAAUUGUUGGGGCAUAAAUCUGUACCAAGCAUUUCCCCAACUGUGCACCAAGCUAUCCUUGCCACAGGGCAAAGAAAGAACAAAUGUAGAUAUGUUUCUCUACAGUCACAAAAGGAACAACGAGGAUUGCUAGCCCACUUUCUACGUUUCAUAACAUCUCUGGUUAGAAUAGCAUCUUGAAAAAGUUGCCAAAGAAAGAUCUGUAUUUUGACAAACAAUUUAGCCUUCCAAAUCCAUCUGUAGUCACAGCCAACCAGGUCUUUCUCUAAGUAAGAGUACACAGAUUUAGUUGUGUAUCUGCCUUUGGAGUUAAAAACCCAUACUAUCUCAUCUUGGCCAGUCGAGGGUUCAAGACUAUCAACGGUGUUCUUGACCUCCUCAUACUAACAGGUUAGAUCAACAUUCAAUCCGCGCGUAAAAAUCUCUCCACUGACACGGUCCCUAAAUUGGGCAAUUGUGUCACCCUAAUAGUUAGCAAUACUAAACAGAUUUGGGUAUGCCACACAUAAAGGGGGAUGACUGCCAAUAGGGUCAUACCACACUCUGGCAAUGUUGCCAUCAUUGACAAUCACUUUCCUCCCAGCCAUAUAAAGUUCUUUGAGCAAAGCUUUCCAAACAGGGGAAUCAUUGAACUUGGUUUUAACAUUAGCUACAGAGUUAUUUCUCAGAUAUUUUGCUCUCACUACUUCUUUCCAGAGCCCUUCCCCUGUAUCUAAUCCACCACCAUUUUGCUAAAAGAGAUAUGUUCUAUUUGUGAAGAUCUUUAAUGCCUAGACCUCCUUUUUUCUUAGAACAGCACACCCGUGUCCACUUAACCAGAUAGUACCGCCUUUGCCCAUCCCUCCACACCAAAAGAAUUUACGACGAUACUUGUCUAGUCUCUCAAUAAAGGUUUUAGAGAGCAGGAACAUCGACAUAUAGUAGUAUGAGAUGCUCGAUAAGGACGAAUUUAGCAAGGUCAACCUCCUACCAGACGAGGCCGAAUUGUCGAUCUAGGAGUCGCAACAUUUGAGAUAUCGAAUAGCAACAUAUUCCCAAUCAGAAUUCCCUAAAGAAGAAUAACUAACCGACACUCCCAGGUAUUUCAUAGGGAAGUGCCCUAUUUGACACCCAAACAAAUCAACAUAUUUUUGAAGGACAGAAUCAUCCCCACCCACACACAACACCUCACUUUUAAUAAAACUGAUUUUUAGGCCAGACAUUAGCUCAAACAGAUAUAACAAAAGCUUAAGAUUGACCGCUUUGUCAAUACCAUCUUCAAUGCAGAUAAUCGUGUCGUCUGCGUAUUGCAAAACAGCAACCCCAUUAGGAAUAAGGUCAGCUGCCAACCCACUAAACAGACCAUUUUUCUGGGCAUUGAGAAUCAUUUUAGUAAGGCACUCAACUGCUAGGAUAAAGAGAAAGGGAGAUAUAGAAUCUCCUUGUCGGACCCCUUUGCAGCUUUGGAAAUAAGGUCCCACAGAAUUAUUAAUCUUGACACUAACUGUGCCAUUUCGAAGGAUCCGACUAAUCCACUCACACCACUUAUCAUUGAAUCCUCUCAUUCUAUGGCACUCUAAUAGAAAGUCCCAGUUGACCUUAUCAUAUGCUUUCUCGAAGUCAAGCUUCCGGAAAAUCCCGACCUUUUCCUGACUUGAGUAUGGUGCAAUACCUCAUGCAACGUCAAUAUCCCAUCCAUAAUAUUGCGUCUUUCAAUAAAGGCAAUCUGAUGUCGACUGGUAAGUUUAUCAGCAAACUUCGCCACUCUAUUAUCCAGAACCUUGGUUAUGAGCUUAUAAGGACAACGCAACAAACAGAUGGGACAAAAUUCUUGAAUUUUUCUUGCUCCAUUGAUCUUAGGAAUCAGGGUAAUAGUCCCAUAAUUCAAUCUCUCUACAUCUAGGGAGCCUUCGUGAAAAGCCGUGAAUAAAUUCAUGAUAUCUUGUUUAACAAUAUCCCAACAAAAUCGAUAGAAUUCUGUCGGGAUAUUGUCGGGACCAGGGGCUCUGUUACUCUUCAUAUAAAAUAAAGCUUUCUUGACCUCCUCCUCACUAAAAGGCCUGGUCAGAAAUUCAUUAUCCUCAGCUGUUAAUUUUUUGUUGUCCCCCCAAGUAUCAGGGUCUAAAUGAAAUAGAUUCCCUGGGGCUGGUCCAAAGAGUUCCUUGUAGAACCCUGUAGCAUGCUUAAGUAGAUUCUCAGUCCCCUCAAUGGUAGUAUCACCAUGCGAGAAGGAGUGAAUGGUAUUCUUUCUUUUCUUUCCAUUGGCAAUCCUAUGAAAAAAGCAGUAUUCUGGUGUCCUUUUAGCAGCCAUGUCUGAUGGGACAGUUGAAGCUAGAAUAACUCCUCAUUAAUCAUAAGUUGUUGUAGAUCACCGCCAAGGGUAGCAUGUUUGUCUAACAUGUCAGAGUCGACGGGUCCUUGCUCUUCCAUAGAUUCUAUGGUAGCUAGUUCCUCUUUGAUCAUUUUCUUCCUUUUCUUUUCGUGACCAAAAUUUUCAGAUCCCCAUCCUUUAAAAAAAUUCUUGAAACAUUUUAAUUUGAUAUUGAGUACAUCAAUUGGAUCAGAAGAUUUAACAGGUCUCUGCCAGAUUUUUUAACCAAAGGCAGAAAUUCCUCAUUGGUCAUCCAACUCAUCUCAAAUAUAAACUCUCUAGGUUUAGGUGCGUGGGGGCAAGCACUAUUAGUAAACAGAAGGAGGGGAUUGUUGUCAGAGAUGUCUCUAACCAGCUUUCUAGCAGUGACCAAAGGAAAUAUAUCUUCCCAUUCACUAUUCAUAAGGAUUCUAUCCAUUUUUUGUAGAGAAGGAUGGGCCUGAUUAUUCGACCAAGUAAACAAGCCCCCUUCAACAUAAAUCUCACGCAAGCACAUAGUGUUGAUGAUGGCAUUAAACCUAUCAACAUACUGUGAAACCACCAUAUUUUUGUUUUUUUCUCCACAAUGCCUUAAGAUAUUAAAGUCUCCCCCAACUAUAUAGCCAUUGAUAAAUGGCUACAAAAACUGGCGAGUUUAGAGAGGAAUUCCUCUUUGUACUCAUCAUGAGCAGCAAAUAAACAUUUAGCAAAGCCCAAACACAUUGUUUUGCCACAUCAAAUACAAUAACUUGUAGUAUAUAUUUACCCAUAGACCAAGAAACAAUCUCCAAAUUUUUUUAGAACCAUGGCUUACACUACACCAUGGUGGGGGUACAAUCAGAUGUCACAAAUUGUGCUACGUUUUGGGGUACAACACCUAUCAGGUAGAAAUCGCCUUGUCUGUGACAUGUUGCUGCCAAUUCAUGGGCAACGCUGUUUAAAGCCCGGCCGACCACGCUGAUCUUGCACACUGCGUAUCUACCCAUCAACAUCUUGAUAUCGGUUACCAGGGCAUGGUUGGCUGAUUUGCAGGUUCCCGGUGUUGCUAGGUCUCGUCCUAGCCUGGCAUAGUCGACCUCAAGCACUAAGCCUCCACUGAUCAGGUUUGAGAGUUCCAUCAGGCUCAUAAGAACUGCCGCUGCUUCCGCUUCCUCUACUGUGUUGCAGCGAUGCAAACGUCAGCCCACCUACGCCAUGAUUUCUCCUCGACAGUUCCUGGCCACUACCCCGCCCCAUGCCUCACCUGUUUCUUGGAAGUAACUUGUGUCACAAUUCAGUUUUACCAUACCUGGGUCUGGGGUGGUCCAAUGAUCUGCCUUUGUAAUUGGUAUUUUGCAUGGACUGUCAGGAAAUAGGCGGGCAUGCUUCUUCCUCGAGCUCGAUUCCGGCUUGCAUUGGCCACUUGUCAGUUCAUCAUUGAGUCUGAUUAGGUACUGGGCUGCUCCCGACACCGUGUCCUUUCUAUCACCAUGGAUUAUAUUAUUUCUUAAGCUCCAACUCUGCCAUAGAAUCAGUAGUAUCUUAUUUCUGACCGUUUCUGAAUUAGCCAAUAGCAGGUUCUGCAGCCAAUCUGGUCCCGAGCGGGAGAACUGAGAUUCCUUUGGAAUGUUCCAAUGGUCCCUCAUUGCAUGCCUCAGUGCCCUGCUCCUGGUGCAUGACACAGUAGCGUGGAACUCAUCUUCUUUUUCAACUCCACAGAUGUCGCAGACAUCCUCAUUCACUAGUGUUCUACGGAGAGAGUUGUGCUUUGUUGCCAGGGAUUCAGUGGCUACUCUCCAACCAAAAAUCUUCACUCUCUCGGGAACACUUGCUUUCCAUAUCGCAUCCCAAACGCUACGCUCUCCUGGAUUACUUGUGGAGCUUGUGGCUUGGCUUCUUCUUCUUCUUCUUCUUCUCAGGUUGUCCGCAAGUUUGUACGCGCUUCUGACUGUAAAGACACCUGUGUUCUCAUAGUGCCACGCCACAUGAUCCUCUAUUCCACUUGCUAGGAUUCUUAUCUUACAUAUUUCAUCCACGUCAAAAGGUUGGAAAAUUUGUCUCACCAGCUCUGUAUUCCAUUCUCGUGUCUCUGGGAUGAUAAGUUGGUUCACCCAUCGGAGACGCGAUCUUCUAAUGAAGGUAGCUGUCUUAAGCCCCUCAUUCCUCGGGAUCCACUGGUCUCUUAUGAUUUGGAUUUUCCUCCUGUCCCCCACACGCCAAAUGAGGCCUUCCUUGAGUAGCUCAAGACCAAAUUCAAUUCCUCUCCAAGCCGGGGAAGCAUCGGAGCUGAAUACUGUGUCAAGUAAAUUGCCAUGGGGAAAGUACUUUGGUUUAAGUAUAUGUGCACAAAGACUGUUAGGGUUUUGCAAAAUCCUCCACCCUUGCCUAGCGAGGAGUGCUUGGUUAAACAGGUGCAUGUAUCGAAAACCCAUCCCUCCAUUUCUCUUUGCUUUUGUCAUGUUAUCCCAAGACAUCCAAUAAACCUUUCUUUUCUCUUCCUUAUCCCCCGACCAGAAGUCCCUUAUAACUUUCUCAUACUUCUCACAGAAGCUCUGGGUAAACUUGAAAAUUCCCAUGGGGUAGGUUGGCAGGGCUUGGGCAACUGAUUUGACGUUCACUUCCUUUGCUGCUUGGGACAUGAACCUCUCAUUCCAGUCAUUACACCUCUUCUCGAAUUUAUCCAUGAUUGGAACAAAAUUUUCAUCCUUCAUUCUCCCUUCUGGGGUUGGGAGCCCAAGGUAUUUGCUCUCGAAGGAGGCAGAAACCACUCCCAGGGUGUUCAUUAUGCUCUCUCGCUCUUGACUCGGACACGCCUCACUGAAUAAGAGCGAACAUUUAUCCUGACUGAGAAGCUGGCCGGUUGCCUUUUGGAAAGUGUUGAGGACAUUCUUCACUUUACUUGCUUGUUCCGUCGAGGCCUUAAAAAACAAGAGACUGUCAUCCGCAAAGAGCAGGUUCGAUAUCCCCGGGCUCCCCCACGCAAUUUUUAUUGGGUUUAUGCUCCCUGUAGCCACUUCUCUGUUCAGCAAAGUAGCAAGUUCAUCAGCCACAAGAAGGAAUAAAUAGGGGCUUAACGGGUCUCCUUGUCUGAGGCCUCUCGAGGGGAAGAAUGGUUCCAACAAUUCACCAUUGCACUUGACUGUAUACCUCACUGAUCUUACACAAAUCAUCACCCAGUUAAUCCACCUUGGAUCAAAACCUAUCUUCUGGAGUGCUUUUUCCAAGAAGUUCCAGUCAACCAGAUCGUAGGCCUUUGCCAAGUCCAACUUAUAGGCACAGUAGGUGUCCCUCUGGUUUUUGCAGUGCUGGAUUUUGUGAAAGCAUUACCAGCUUUACCAGUGGAGGGAAUCCAACUCCACUCCAGGGUAUUAUAGGGAUCAAUCAUCCUAAGGAAACUAGAAGAUAAUUUUUUUUUCUUCAUAGUCUCCUGUAAACACAAAAAAUCUAGGGAAUGAUCUUUUAUAAGAUCAGAGAGGCAGGUUGUCAUCCCUUUUUACCCGCCCCUCUGCAAUUCCAGAAAAUAUCAUUCAUUUAGGGCGUCCCCCCUCCUUCCCCUGGUCACUCUACUAGGAGACUUAGCAGCAUUACCAGAGUUGGCAGUGGACUCCACUGCCUUUUGGCUUCUAGUUCUAGGUUUGGAUAGAGGUGUCUGAUUUUUUUAUUGUUUCGUUUUUUCCUAGACCCAAUCACAGUGAAAUCAGAGAUAUCAUAGUCAUGCUCAUCUCCCCACCUUAAGUUAAUGGGUAUAUCUUCUCCUUUCCCAUUAGUAAUGAACAUAACCUCGUCGGGAGGUAUAGAUUUUUCAACUACAUUGUUCCUAACAUUCUCAAGUUCUCUAAGUAUAUCAAUCUUAGAAAACUCCAUAUCUGGGAUCAUUACCCCCAUUUUUUAGCUCUAAGCAUCAUAUCAGGAUUAGAUAAAAAAACAAAGGAGUUAGCAGUAGAAUUGAUACCUUCCAGUUCUCUUUUCUUAGUAGCCACUCUGGCCGUGUCCUCCACUUCCUCCAGAUUGGUCAGCGUGUUCCUGGCACUGAACCUGAGCACAUUUACAGGUAAGAGGGGAGGUGUGGGGAUCACCUCACCACAAAAAUCGCUAGCAGAUUCACGUGAUUGCACACUAUACUCAACUGUAAUAUCUUCAUCAACAGCAAAAGGGCCUUCCAUCUCUAUCACCUUAAUAGUUCCUUUCACACUUUCAGCAUAUGAUUUGUUCAUAGUAUUUGUCGGAUGUUGGGUUUCGGCAGACCCUUGAGGUUUGAACUCUGGGGUGCGCACGAAGAUCUCUCCCCUAUCUAUCUAUGCCCGAUCAUCUCAUGAGAUCUAAGCUAAAAACGAUGAACAACACAAGGGACACGAGAUUUAUACUGGUUCGGGCCACCGUUGUGGUGUAAUACCCUACUCCAAUGUGUGGUGUGGUGGAUUGCCUCAGGGGCUCAUGAUGAAUAGUACAGGGGAAGAACGGCCUCGCGAGAGGUGUUCUUGAGCUGGUGCGAUGAACUGCUUGGGUGAGUUUGAGUUUGAUCGCCUCUCCCUCUCUAGUCUUCCCCAAAUCUCUCUCUCUUACUCUAUGGUGGCUAGCUCUAUUUAUAGAGGCCCUGGGCCUCUUCCCAAAUAUUGAGCGAGAAGGGCGCCAACAACGGCCAUUUCGAAGGGGGACAUCUAGUACAAGUUAACCUGACUAAAGUUGGUCUUCGGCUGCCAAAAGCACUAGUGAUGACGCCGUCUUGGGCUCCACGGUGACCUCCAUCCUGCCGCUCCGCUGGUCUUGGUCUCAUUGCACUGAAAUGGCAACCUUUGCCUGAUGCCUCGGUACUCCACAUCUGUGCUUGCCCCCUUCGCACCAAAGAGGAAACAAGGACACUGCACAGGCCGGCGCCCGCCUGGUCUCGAUCAUCAUGGCUUGCAUCAUGAGCACCUCGCGAGGUAUCCUGCCUUGAUCUCUCCGCCUCCUCGCGAGCCUGCCUGGCGAGGCCAUCCCUGAGGAAGCCUUGCAUCGUCCGCCCCGUGAGGCUUGGCCCCUCGUGAGGGUCUUGAGUCUUGUACUGAUGAAGACGGGCCGUACUGGGCCACCACUUGAGCCACGCCGCAGGCCGCAGGCAGGCAAGUCUGGGGACCCCCGUUCCCAGAACACCGACAGUAUUCUUCUUAGUACUAUGAAGAACAGUCUGGAUACACACAUCUUGAGACAUAGAGCUUUUCUUUUCACUGAACUUUUCACCAGCAGCAAGAGCCUCCUGUUCCAUGUUGUGGAUCAAUAGGGUAUCAUGAUUCGAGCUAUCAGAAGUGAUUGAAACUAGUGAUUCCAUAGGAUCAGUAGCAUAUUGCUUUCCCAACGGACUCAUGUCCCUCACAUCAGCUCUCCCUCUAGAGGAACUCCCAAUAGGGUUUUCGAGUAUGUUUGUUCUUUUUUGUUUCUUCAUCGAAGGGCCUCCCUGAUCAGCAUGUGCCUUAUUACGAAGACUCACUCUGACUGGAUCUCUCACCAACACUUGCUCCACAUUGAAGGUAAAAUCAUAUAAUAGAUCCCCAGGACUGACUCAGCCACUGGUACGAUCUCAUCAACAUCACGACAUCCUAACUUGACUCUUACAAAAUCAGGGCGAUGUAAAGUGGCCUUAUCUAUUGAUACGUCUCCAACGUAUCUAUAAUUUAUGAAGUAUUCAUGCCAUGUUUACAAUAAUUUUAUAUGAUUUUGGUAUGAUUUACAUGGAACUAACCUGGACUAACGCUGUUUUCUGCAGAACUACCAGGGUAUUGUUUUUUGUGCAGAAAUGAAAUUUCUCCAAAUGAGCUGAACCUUUUUUAUGAUUUUUUUGGAACAAAAGAGACCCCCGAAGCUUCAUGGGAGGGCCAAAAGAGCCAUGAGGAGGGCACAACCCACCGGGGCCCGCCUGGGCCCUUGCCCGUGCCCCGAUGUAUCGUGCUCACCUCGAGGCCCAUCUGGACGUGAGACCGAUGCCAACAAUUCCUAUAAAUAGAGAAACCAUCAGAAAUAACCCUAUAUCGAAAGUUCCGCCGCCGCAAGCCUCUGUAGCCACCGAAAACCAAUCGGGACCCCAUUCUGGCACCCUGCUGGAGGGGGGAAUCAUCUCCGGUGGCCAUCUUCAUCAUCCCGGCGGCCACCACGAUGAGGAUGGAGUAGUUCACCUCGGGGCUGAGGGUUUGUACCAGUAGCUAUGUGUUUAAUCUCUCUCUCUCUCUCGCGCGAUUUUGAGAUGUCACAAUCUUGAUGUAUCAUGGGCUUUGUUAACAUAGAUGGAUCAUAGAUGUUUCUCCCCUCUCUACACUUGUUGUGAUGAAUUGAGUCUUUACCCUUUGAAGUUUUGUCUUGUCGGAUUGAAUGUUCAGAUCUAAGAACACAUGAUAUAUGUCUUGCAUAUGAAUACCCAUGGUGACAAUGGGGUAUUAUUUUGAUUCACUUGGUAUAUGUUAUGGCACUCAACUUGCGGAUUCCCGAGGUGACUUUGGGGUAAUCUAUGCAUAGGGGUUGAUGCACGUUUUUAUUAUCUUUUCUUCGAUAGAAACUUUGGGGUCUCCUUGUAGUUCUUUGUGUUAAUUGAGUAUUAUGAAUCUGAAAUUCUUUGAUACAUAUCGUAUAAUUAACUCACGGAUACUCGCGGUGACACUGGGGUAUCUAGGUGACAUUAGAGUUGGUUGAUAUGUAUCAUAUGGUGUUAUUUUAGUAUGAACUCUUGAUUAGAUCGAUUGAAAAGAAUAGCUUGCUGUUAUUUUAGUACGAACUCUAGGACAGAUUGAUCGGAAAGAAUAGCUUUGAGGUGGUUUCGUACCCUACAAACAAUUUCUAUCUUUUGUGCUCUGCUAAUAGGAACUCGGGAGUGAUUCUUUAUUGCACUUUGAGGGAUAAUCAUAUGAUCCAACUAUGUUAGCAUUGUUGAGAGAUCACACUAGUGAAAGUAUGCACCCUAGGCCUCAUUUUCCAUCAUUGCAAUACCGUUUGUGCUCUAUUUUACUAUUUACUACCUUGCUGCUUUUUAUUGUUUGCACUACAAAAACUCAUAUCUACUAUCCAUACUACACUUUUAUCACCAUCUCUUCACCGAACUAGUGCACCUAUACAAUUUUCCAUUGUAUUGGGUGUGUUGGGGACACAAGAGAUUUCUUGUAUUUGAUUGCAGGUUUGCUCGAGAGAUACUAUCUUCAUCCUAUGCCUCCCACGGAUUGAUAAAUCUUAGGUAAUCCACUUGAGGGAAAAUUGCUACUGUCCUACAAAACUCUACGCUUGGAGGCCCAACACGUGUCUACAAGAAUAAAGUUGCAUAGUAGACAUCAUAUAUCUACAGUGGUACUCCUGCCAGAGAAGCUACAAAAGCAACAUUCCUCUCACAUCUCUUGUCCAUUGGGAUCCUACCCACCUCAACCCAAGCUUUUUCCAGUAUCCCUUUAGCACCAUCAUCAUGAUUCCAUCUGGUGACCCUUACUACUGUACCACAUGGUUUCAUAGUCAUACGGUCGCUGUAGCAAGCUUUUUCUACCUCUCUGGUAUUAGGAAAUCUCACCAGAAACACCCCAGGCUCCACCAACUUAGCAGAACACCUCCAGGUUUUACCAAGAUACGGAAAGACAACAUCAUUCAUCUGUUUGAUGGUAGGAUUCCCUUUCAGCACAGUAAUAAUAACAUUGCAAGAUUUCUCCCUAGCUUGUUCAGCAGAACAGAAAUCAUGCACAUAAAAAAGCCUUGCCCCCUAGCUUGAAAGGCACACAUAGGAGCAAUGCACUCCCAUGGGAGGAACUCCACACAGACAGAAGCUAGAUAGCCCAACUUGUUACACCUCUCACAAAAAGCUAGCGGACAUCAAAUCGGAACAUGACCAGCAGAUUUGCAGAUAGGGCAUAUGUCUCCAGAAUUGUUAGGGGCACCUGAUUUUUGGCCCUGGCCCUUGAGGUCGAAGGAGCAGUAGCUGUUGGAGAUGGCUCUGUAGCUUGGUGUGAACUCCCUCCUCCCGAGGCCACGGAUCCCUUCUGCUUCUCCACCCACACGCCCCCGAAGCUAGAGCUCUGCCGCUCCGCCGCCAUCGCUACUGCCUCCCAGCGCGAGGCCUCGGAUGCGUCACCGGACUUGUCGAUGUUGCCGCCGCUCUGCCAUGAGAAGCGCCCGCCGCCGCGGUCAAAUCUACCUGCUCCACGAUCGAAACGCCCGCCACCACGGUCGAACCGACCCGCACCGCGGCCCGCGCGGCCAGCACUGAAGCCCUCCCGAUGGUCGCCGUGAAACCCCUGUCCUGACUUGUCGGACAUGGAAUCUGGCGGACGCGGGGGAGUGGACACAACCUCGGCAAACGACCUACUGUCACCACCGAUUUUACCUCGCCACCAGGAGAAGGAAGAGGGAGGAUUAGAUCUAGGGUUCCGCGGCGCCGCCCACAGAUGCAAAAGGGCAGGGUCUAGGUCAAGAGGGGAGUGAGAUUUGCCUUUAAUACUCUUCCUCGGGCGGCCACAGUGCGACAAAGGCUCAGGAUCACCGUCCAUGUGGUCGACAUCCACCAUUGGUGGCACCUCCCCCGCCUUGGGCCCCUUGCAUGGCAGGUCGAGUGUGUUUCGGUGUUGUCCCCCCGUGUCGUGCACCGCAGGACCAGGCCCGUGCCUCUGCAUGUUGCACCACACUGACUCGCCGCUGUCAUGCCGCAUAUCCUUGGUAAAGAUCGCCGGAAUCCUGUCGUUGAGCCUUGCAAAAAAACACAAAAACGCGAUGAUGUGACCAAUAUCAACGAACUCAUGCUCGCGGAGUGCCUGCGCGUCGAUUACCCCGCCCUCGAUGUUGAAGAGGACGAGACGAAGAGCAUCUCCACGGAGGAGGAGCUCGCCGUCGUGGAGGUGGAUGGUAUGGGCGGUCCCCAGAUCUGCCGCGUAACGCACUCGCCAUCGGAUGUCAGUCGCCAUCCUGUGGUGGCAUGGACGGAGACCACGAUCAAUACACCGAGAUCAGAUGGGAGGUUGAACAAGAAUAGUUUUGGGUCCGUCAUUGAUCUAGAGUGGAUAGAGAAAGAGGAUGAAUAUUGCACUGCACACUGUAUUACUCAUCGAUAGGAGUUACAUAUAGCCGGGGCCUUCCACAAUAUCAGGCACGCAAGCCAUGAGCUAGUCGUGGAGGUUAAGAUCCUAGAAAGUAGGAAUUAGGUACAAGNNNNNNNNNNNNNNNNNNNNNNNNNNNNNNNNNNNNNNNNNNNNNNNNNNNNNNNNNNNNNNNNNNNNNNNNNNNNNNNNNNNNNNNNNNNNNNNNNNNNNNNNNNNNNNNNNNNNNNNNNNNNNNNNNNNNNNNNNNNNNNNNNNNNNNNNNNNNNNNNNNNNNNNNNNNNNNNNNNNNNNNNNNNNNNNNNNNNNNNNNNNNNNNNNNNNNNNNNNUGAAACACAACUGAUGGAAGGCCUUUGGUGAAGAUGUCGGCGAACUGCGACCCGGAUGGCACAUGAAGUACGCGAGCUUCGCCCAGGGCAACCCGAUCGCGAACAAAGUGAAGGUCGAUUUUGACAUGUUUUGUCCGCUGGUGCUGAACCGGGUUGCUGGACAGGUAGGUGGUGCUGAUGUUGUCGCAGUACACAACAGUGGCACGCGACGGGGGAAGGUGAAGCUCAUGCAGGAGUUGGCAAAGCCAGGUUGUUUCAGCGACGCAGUUGGCGACAACCCGGUAUUCCGCUUCGGCGCUGGAGCGGGAAACGGUAUGUUAACGUUUGGAGGACUAGGAAACCAGAUUGGGCCCGAGAAACACACAAAACCCAGAUGUGUACAUCCUGGUGUCGGGGUAGCCGGCCCUAUGAGCAUCGGAAUACGCCACAAGAUCGCGAGUGGAGGAGCGAUAGAACCGGAGGCCACAGUGUGAUGUGCCUUGGAGGUAUCGGAGAAUGCGCUUCACGAGAUGCAUGUGGGAUGAGCGAGGAGCAUGCAUGAAGAGGCAUGCUUGCUGAACCGCAUAGGAUAUGUCGGGCCUGGUGAGGGUUAGAUACUAGAGAGCACCGGUGAGGCUGCGGUAGUGGGUAGGAUUGGCAAGGAGAUCACCAUCAUGAGCGGAUGCUUUGGACUUGGUGUUGAUGGGGGUGGAAAUAGGGUUGCAAUUUAGCAUGUUGGCGCGGUCCAAGAUUUCUAGAACGUAUUGUUGCUGGGAAAGAAAGAGCCCAGAGGAGGUUCAAGUGGCAUUAACACCAAGGAAGUGGUGGAUAUCCCCAAGGUCGGACAUGGCAAAUUCUUCUUUGAGGGAGGAGACGACAGAGUGUAACGUAGUGGAGGAGUUGGCAGUGAGUAUGAUGCCAUCUACGUAGAGAAGGAGGUAAGCAACAUAAUUGCCAUGGUGAAAAAUGAACAUGGAAGUGUCAGACUUGGAAGAAACAAAACCCAAGGACAGGAGAUAAGACUUGAACCGCAAGAACCAUGUGCGAGGAGCCUGCUUCAAGCCGUAUAGAGACUUCUUGAGGAGGCAAACAUGGUUGGGGAGGGAAGAAUCAACAAAACCCGCCGGUUGAGCACAAUAGACAGUCUCACCAAGAUCGCCGUGUAAGAAGGCAUUUUGACAUCCAACUGGUGGAUCGACCAGGACUGAGCGGUGGCAAUGCUGAGAAUGACGCGAACGGUGGCUGGCUUGACCACACGACUGAAGGUCUCCAUAUAAUCGACACCCUCUUGCUGCGUGAAACCCCGGAGCACCCAACGAGCCUUGUACCGAGCAAGGGAGCCAUUAGCGUCAAGCUUGUGCCGGAAGAUCCAUUUGCUGGUGACCACGUUGACACCUGCAAGACGAGGAACCAAACACCAAGUUUUGUUCUUUAUCAAAGCAUUAAAUUCAUCGAGCAUGGCAUCGUGCCAAUUUUUGUCUUUGAGGGUGGACUUGUAAGUGGUCGGGAGAGGAGAAAUAGGAGGGGAAGUGGUGAGGGUAAAAAGGCGUCUGGGCUGAGCGAAGCCGCGCUUGGCACGAGUUGUCAUUUUAUGUGAAUUGACUAGUGGCGGAACGGGGAGUACGGGGCGACGUGGAGGAGAGGGAGUGGCGAGCGCGCGGUGCAAGGUCCGGGUCAGGCCCAGGGGGAGCGGGGGGCAAUCCAAGGCGGGCGGGCGAUCUGAGAGAUCGGGUGGCAGGGGAAUCUAGUGCGGGCGAGCCGGGAGAGGCCCCUGGGUGGGAGUGGGACCGGGGGGAGGCGGUCGGGGUAGUGGGCUGGCAGGGAGAGGCGUGGGAGGCAGGGGUUGGUGGAGAGGUGCACGAGGUUGAUGCGGGAGGCGGGUCUGCGGCCGAGGUAGGCUGGGCGGGGAUCUCGGAGGGGAUUGCAUGCAGGCGUGGGAGAGGGGCGGGAUCUUCUGUGGCCGAUGUGGCUGGUGAAUGAGGUGAUGUGUAAGGAAAAAUCGAUUCAUCGAAAACGACAUGACGAGAAACAAUUACUUUGCACUUGAGGAGAUCGAAACAACGAUAACCUUUGUGUUCUAAGGGGUAACCGAUGAAGACACACCGUGUGGAACGUGGGGCGAGCUUGUGCGGGCUGGUGGCAUAGAGGUUUGGAAAACACAAGCAGCCAAAGACACGUAGAUGAUCGUAGGUAGGGGGAACGCCGGUAAGGAGAAAGAAGGGGGUGUGAGGUGCAGUUUUGACGGACGACCGAUGAUUGAGGAGAUAGGUGGCGGUGUGUAAAGCCUCGACCCAAAACGGUGGGGAAGAUUAGCUUGGAGAAGAAGGGUGCGGACAAUGUCGUUCGUGGGGCGAAGCAUACGUUCCGCCUCGCCGUUCUGGGGGGAAGUAUGAGGACAGGAGAGACGGUAGACGAUGCCGUGGGUCGAGAAGAAAGUACGAAGAGCAGUGUUGAUGAACUCGCCGCUGUUGUCAGAUUGCAUGCAUUGAAUAAUCGUGUGAAAUUGGGUAGAGAUGUAGGAGAAGAAGCGUUGGAGGGUGGGGGACGCGUCAGAUUUGUGACGGAGAGGAAAAGACCACGAGUAGUGAGUAAAGUCGUCUAGUAUAAUGAGAUAGUAAGCAUAGCCCGAAAAGCUUACAACUGGUGACGUCCAAAGUUCAUAAUGAAUGAGCUGAAAUGGUGCAGUAGUACACUUAUUGGAAGGGGAAAAUGCUAAACGAGGUUGGCGCCCUAGUUGGCACGAGGUACAAGGGGGGGUGAACACUUUUAUUACAAUCUGGUAAGAAACGGGAAAGGGAAGCUAGGGUUGCUGUGUCGGGGUGCCCAAGGCGCCGGUGCCACAAGUCACCGGUUGUGGUAAGGAAAGCGGAGCCGCCAGUGGUGUUGGUGCCAUAGAAGGGGUAGAGCGGGCUGGAGCUACUGGACGUCAUGAGCGGAGUCUUGGUGGGAAGAGCCUUCACAGAAAAGCCAGAGGGGUUAAACACGACCUCAACAUUAUUAUCACGAGACAAUUUGCGAACGGAAAUAAGAUCUUUGACAAUGUUAGAGCAGACGACAGCAUCGUUAAGAGAAAGAUUGGUGGGGCGAGUGUGGUGGAGUCCGUGCCAAUGAUAGGGAGACGGUGACCAUUGCCAACAACGAUGCUCGAGGAAAAAUGCUGAGGUAAAGAGCGAAACAAGGAGAGGUUACCAGGAUUGCCGGUGACAUGUGUGGCCGCGCCGGAGUCGAGGAUCCAGUUAGCCCCGUGCGCUGGGACACCUUGCUGGCUGUAGGCGUGGCUGGGGAGAGCAGCAUGAUCCCAAGCAGGAGAGCCGUAGGAGUACGGCUGCGGGGCGGGGGAUGAUGCAGGGCCCGACAACAUCAAAGGAUACGCCUGGGAGUGCACACCAGGCCGCGGGCCCAGCACACCAGCGGCGUUUGGCGGAGUCCAUCCAGGGCGAGGUUGAGGUAGAGCCAUGCCGAACGGGGCGAAAUAGCCCGUCCAGGGUGGCAGGGCGGCGGUGUUGGAGUAGGAGCCCCGACCGGACGAGUCAGAGCGGCCGCGGCCGCGGCCACCGCCGCGCCCCAUGACCACGUCUGCGGUCGCCACCACCAGAGCGGGCCCUAUUGGUGCCAUGGCCGCCGGGUGCGGGGCCGUUGCCGUUGCCACCGGGGCGGGGGCCGCCGUUGCCGCGAUCGCCACGAUCACCGCGGUCGCCGCGGUCACCGCGGUCGUUGGAGACGGUGAGGACGGCGGCGCCAGCCUCGGCGGCGCGAAGGUUGAUGUUGUACUUCGCGAGAUCCACGCGAGAGCGAGCAAUGCCGAACGGGGGAAGAGGCACCGUGUCCCCCAAGAUGGUGUGGAUGGUGUCGAAGUGGGCGUCGAGGCCAUGAAGGAACUGCAUGGUGAGAUCUGGAUCGGAGACAGGGUUACCGGUGUCGGCGAGGCCGUCGGCGAGGGACUUGAGACGGCGAGCAUAGUCAGAGACGGAGAGGUCUCCCUGCUUCAAGUUCCGGUACUGGCGCGUGAGGUGGAGGUACUGGGCGCCCUGGUUGGCCAGGAAAUAGUCCCGGAUGCGUUGCCAGGCAGUGUAGGCGUCGACGGCGCCGCCCAUGAUCAGCUCGAGGAUGGAAUCUGCGAGGGUGAAGAGGAUCCAGAGGACCAGCCGUUGAUCCACGGCAAGCCAGGCGGCGUUAGGCUGAGGAGGAGGACGGCGCUCGAUGUGAUCCUGGACACGGUACUGCGUGAGGACACAGGUGAAGAAGGUGCGCCACUUGAUGUAGUUGUUCUCAGCAGGGUCGAGCUUGAACUUGAUAUGGUUGGAGAUGUGGUCGUUGUGAAAAUUGUGAAGGAGAAGAUCAGGGGGAGAUGGCACGGGGAAGAUGGCCGUGGUGGCGAGAGCAGAGGUUGCAGCAGGCAUGGUGGUCGAGGAGAAGGGAGGAGAGGUCCCCGGAGUGGAGGACGGAAAGGAGGAGUCGGGAGCGGCCGGAGUGGCAGGGGGCUCGCCGAAGAUGUCCUCGAAAGCCAUGACGUCGGAUACCAAGAAAGAUGAUGAAUAUUGCACUGCAUACUGUAUUACUCAUCGAUAGGAGUUACAUAUAGCCGGGGCCUUCCACAAUAUCAGGCACGCAGGCCAUGAGCUAGUCGUGGAGGUUAAGAUCCUAGAAAGUAGGAAUCAGGUACAAGAGCUACGACGGUACAAUUACAAUGGUACAAUACAUGACACGUUAACAGAUAGCAUUCAACUGGUUAUUUUGUUGCCCGGACUUGGAACUUGCCCGGCAUUGUGCACGAGCUUCGCUGCUUCAACAAUACUGAACUAGACACCAUAGUCAUAUACAGAUCACAAGCUGGUUCAUCGCCGGCGAGUGUGUCAUGUCUGUGGUCUGGAUGCCCGUCUCUUUAUAGUGCCGGUGGUAGUGUGCUGCAAUAUGACUGUAAACCUGUUGAUCUACUCUGAGGAAAAUCAAGUAAACCUGUUGAUUCUUGUUUGACAAAAAAAAAA
Molecule: long non-coding RNA, 38411 nt
Filed under: Triticum aestivum (bread wheat)
Lineage: Eukaryota; Viridiplantae; Streptophyta; Magnoliopsida; Poales; Poaceae
Description: long non-coding RNA (TAES_LNC007393)
Source: RNAcentral